AUUGUCUAUUAAAGGAGAUGUGGUUGAAGGAGCAGGUGUUGGAUGCGGUGCGCAUAAAAGGAAUUCAAGAGACAAUCCAGGAUUUCUUAACGACCAAGUCCUGAAUCCCGGCGGCGAGUGCUACUUCAACCUGAGGAGCCAAUGAAACCAAAUCACGAUGAUCAUUUAUACGAUGCUUGAAUGGUGGAGAUAAAUUUUGUUGUAAAUACUUUGUCUGUGAUGCAUAUGUGUAAAUAUUAUAUUAUAGACCUAUAGAUACAUAUAAUAUAUAUAUAGUGUUUUAUAGUAUAUUUAUAUGUAAUGCUUCAAAUUAUAUAAAUUAUAGGUGCACGUUUCCAUAAACUAGCAGCAAACAAUACGGAUUCAAAAAUAAUAAUAACAUAAUUUGAAACCCUAAAUGAAAAACCAAAAGAAAAGAUAAGGAAAAAAGAAAAAACUCUUUAGUCCCAGUUGGUAACACCAACCGAGACUAAAAGUGGAAGCCAGGUGGCACACCGUGGCGCACCUUUUAGUCCCGGUUGUCGGUACCAACUGGGACUAAAGGUGGACCUUUAGUCCCGGCUCGUGGAACUGGGACUAAAGGUGGGACAUUUAGUCCCGAAACCAUAGCCCUGGUUCCGUAGCCGGGACUAAAGGCCCUUACGGCCC
RNAcentral lists this long non-coding RNA (648 nucleotides) under Sorghum bicolor (sorghum). Its description in RNAcentral is "long non-coding RNA (SBIC_LNC008361)". The record is from RNAcentral. Lineage: Eukaryota; Viridiplantae; Streptophyta; Magnoliopsida; Poales; Poaceae.